GUCGCCCGGAGCCGGGGAGGGAGGGAGCGAGGUUCGGACACCGGCGGCGGCUGCCUGGCCUUUCCAUGAGCCCGCAGCGGACCCUCCCGCGCCCCCUCUCGCUCUGCCUCUGCCUCUGCCUCUGCCUGGCCGCGGCUCUGGGAAGUGCGCAGUCCGCUCUUGCCCCUGUUCUUUGCUUCUCGUUUUGUUGGUGAAGAUAUCACAGUGAUGUCUGCAUUCAACCUGCUGCAUUUGGUGACAAAGAGCCAGCCAGUAGCCCUUCGAGCCUGUGGGCUUCCCUCAGAUAAUCUCACAGCAAAUUUCAGAGCUUCUCCUCAUAUUGUUGAUAUUGAUGAAGAAAGAGUUUAGACACUUGAUCUGUAUUUACUAGUUUGUUUCUACCACCAACUGGCUUUCUGGCCCCAGGAAUCUUUGUUUUGUACCUUUUAUUCCUAUUCUGCAUCUGUAAACUGAGAAUUUUGUAACAUUCUUGUCAAAUCUUUUAUAAAAGAUAUGACCUUCAGGUGAGGGUUAUUGUAUUAUAUUAUAUUAUAUUGCAUAUUAGCUGACAUUUUCCAAAGGUUUGUUCU
This 569-nucleotide small RNA is filed under the name Pongo abelii (Sumatran orangutan). Its description in RNAcentral is "processed transcript". The record is from RNAcentral. Lineage: Eukaryota; Metazoa; Chordata; Mammalia; Primates; Hominidae.